GAUGAACGCUGGCGGCGUGCCUAAUACAUGCAAGUCGAGCGAACAGAUGAGGAGCUUGCUCCUCUGACGUUAGCGGCGGACGGGUGAGUAACACGUGGAUAACCUACCUAUAAGACUGGGAUAACUUCGGGAAACCGGAGCUAAUACCGGAUAAUAUAUUGAACCGCAUGGUUCAUAGUGAAAAAAGGGUUUGCUGUUAACUUUAGGAUGAUCCGCGCCGCAUUAGCCAGUUGGUAAGGUAACGGCUUACCAAGGCAACGAUGCGUAGCCGACCUGAGAGGGUGAUCGGCCACACUGGAACUGAGACACGGUCCAGACUCCUACGGGAGGCAGCAGUAGGGAAUCUUCCGCAAUGGGCGAAAGCCUGACGGAGCAACGCCGCGUGAGUGAUGAAGGUCUUCGGAUCGUAAAACUCUGUUAUUAGGGAAGAACAAAUGUGUAAGUAACUAUGCACGUCUUGACGGUACCUAAUCAGAAAGCCACGGCUAACUACGUG
RNAcentral lists this ribosomal RNA (496 nucleotides) under uncultured bacterium. RNAcentral's name for it is "partial 16S ribosomal RNA". It matches the Rfam family "Bacterial small subunit ribosomal RNA", at positions 28 to 507 of the family's 1533-position model. The record is from RNAcentral.